Molecule: ribosomal RNA, 494 nt
Filed under: uncultured bacterium
Lineage: Bacteria
Description: partial 16S ribosomal RNA
Rfam family: Bacterial small subunit ribosomal RNA
Source: RNAcentral
GACGAACGCUGGCGGCGUGCUUAACACAUGCAAGUCGAACGGAAAGGCCUGCUUUUCCUUGUGUAUUGCGGGUGCGCGCGUGGCGAACGGGCGAGUAACACGUGCGUGAUCUGCUCCCAACUUGUGUAUAAGCUUGGGAAACUGCGUCUAAUUCCCGACUGGACCGCAGGGUGGUGCCUGUGGUGGCAACGGAUGUUCUAGUGGUUGGGGAUGAGCUGGCGGGUUAUCAGCUUGUUGGUGGGGUAAUGGCCUACCAAGGCGGCGACGGGUAGGCGGCCUGGGGGAGUCGGCGGGCACGUUGGGACUGAGAUACGGCGCAGACGCCAACGGGCAGCAGCAGACGGGAAGAAGGCGCGGUGGGCGGAAGCCUGUUGCAGCGACGCCGAGUGGGGGAUGACGGCCUUCGGGUUGUGACCUCCUGGCGGCCGCGAGGAAGCGACCUGGAUGGAGGGGUAGUGACGGUAGUGGUAGAAGAAGCACCGGCUAACUACGUG